GGAUGUGAGGGCGAUCUGGCUGCGACAUCUGUCACCCCAUUGAUCGCCAGGGUUGAUUUGGCUGAUCUGGCCAGCUAGGCGGGUGUCCCCUUCCUCCCUCACCGCUCCAUGUGCGUCCCUCCCGAAGCUGCGCGCUGGGUCGAAGAGGACGACCUUCCCCGAUAGAGGAGGACCGUUCUUCUGUCAAGGGUAUUCGAGUAGCUGCGCUCCCCUGCUAGAACCUCCAAACAAGCUCUCAAGGUCCGUUUGUAGGAGAACGUAGGGUAGUCAAGCUUCCAAGACUCCAGACACAUCCAAAU
Molecule: small nuclear RNA, 299 nt
Filed under: Panthera tigris altaica (Amur tiger)
Lineage: Eukaryota; Metazoa; Chordata; Mammalia; Carnivora; Felidae
Description: 7SK RNA (ENSPTIG00000002490.1)
Rfam family: 7SK RNA
About the family: 7SK was discovered as an abundant small nuclear RNA in the mid-70s but a possible function has only recently been suggested. Two independent studies have found that 7SK RNA binds the CDK9/cyclin T complex (known as elongation factor P-TEFb). P-TEFb activates transcription by phosphorylating the C-terminal domain of RNA polymerase II.
Source: RNAcentral